GCUUAGGGCCAUACCUGCCUGAGCACGCCCCAUCUUGUCUGAUUUCCGAAGCUAAGCAGGUUCGGGCCUGGUUAGUACUUGGAUGGGACACCGCCUGGGAACACCAGGUGCUGUAAGCU
Molecule: ribosomal RNA, 119 nt
Organism: Betta splendens (Siamese fighting fish)
Lineage: Eukaryota; Metazoa; Chordata; Actinopteri; Anabantiformes; Osphronemidae
Source: Ensembl